UGACCUACGGGGGGCUGCAGUGGGGAAUCUUCCGCAAUGGGCGAAAGCCUGACGGAGCAACGCCGCGUGAAUGAAGAAGGCCUUCGGGUCGUAAAGUUCUGUCUUUAGGGAAGAAGUCUCUCUAUGUGAAUAAUGUAGAGAGGUGACGGUACUUAAGGAGGAAGCUCCGGCUAACUACGUGCCAGCAGCCGCGGUAAUACGUAGGGAGCAAGCGUUGUCCGGAAUUACUGGGCGUAAAGGGCGCGUAGGCGGGAUAUUAAGUUAGGUGUGAAAACUCCGGGCUCAACUUGGAGACUGCACAUAAAACUGGUAUUCUUGAGGACAGGAGAGGAAAGUGGAAUUCCUAGUGUAGCGGUGAAAUGCGUAGAUAUUAGGAGGAACACCAGUGGCGAAGGCGACUUUCUGGACUGUAACUGACGCUGAGGCGCGAAAGCGUGGGGAGUGAACGGGAUUAGAUACCCCGGUAGUC
This 469-nucleotide ribosomal RNA is filed under the name uncultured Dehalobacterium sp. RNAcentral's name for it is "bacterial SSU rRNA". It matches the Rfam family "Bacterial small subunit ribosomal RNA", at positions 333 to 795 of the family's 1533-position model. Lineage: Bacteria; Bacillati; Bacillota; Clostridia; Eubacteriales; Peptococcaceae. The record is from RNAcentral.